This 465-nucleotide ribosomal RNA is filed under the name uncultured bacterium. RNAcentral describes it as "partial 16S ribosomal RNA". It matches the Rfam family "Bacterial small subunit ribosomal RNA", at positions 338 to 795 of the family's 1533-position model. The record is from RNAcentral.
CCUACGGGAGGCAGCAGUAGGGAAUUUUCGUCAAUGGGCGCAAGCCUGAACGAGCGAUGCCGCGUGAGUGAAGAAGGCCUUCGGGUCGGAAAGCUCUGUUGCGGGGGAAAAAAGGCAGCAUCAGGAAAUGGGUGCUGACUGAUGGUGCGCCGCCAGAAAGUCACGGCUAACUACGGGACAGCAGCCGCGGCAAUACGUAGGUGGCGAGCGUUAUCCGGAAUGAUUGGGCGGAAAGGGUGCGCAGACGGUCCUGCAAGUCUGGAGUGAAACGCAUGGGCUCAACCAAUGCAUGGCAUUGGAAACUGGAGGACUGGAGAGCAGGAGAGGGCGGUGGAACUCGAGGUGUAGCGGUAAAAUGCGUAGAUAUAAGGAAGAACACCAGUGGCGAAGGCGGCCGCCUGGCCUGUUGCUGACGCUGAGGCACGAAAGCGUGGGGAGCAAAUAGGAUUAGAUACCCUAGUAGUC